RNAcentral lists this ribosomal RNA (359 nucleotides) under Mantidactylus melanopleura. RNAcentral describes it as "partial 16S ribosomal RNA". It matches the Rfam family "Bacterial large subunit ribosomal RNA", at positions 2006 to 2530 of the family's 2925-position model. Lineage: Eukaryota; Metazoa; Chordata; Amphibia; Anura; Mantellidae. The record is from RNAcentral.
GAGGGUUAGACUGUCUCCUUUUUCAAAUCAGUGAAAUUAAUCUCCCCGUGAAGAAGCGGGGAUGCUCUUAUAAGACGAGAAGACCCCAUGGAGCUUCAAACCCAACUACACCCCUAACUCUUAUAGCCUCACAACCCCCCUAGGCGCCGUGUGCUUGGUUUUAGGUUGGGGCGACCGCGGAGUACAAUAAAACCUCCACAAUGAAUGGGACCACCCCCUUAUCUGAGGGCCACACCCCUAAGAAUUAGAACACUAACAUAAAAUGAUCCAUUACUUGAUCAAUGAACCAAGUUACCCUGGGGAUAACAGCGCAAUCCAUUUCAAGAGCCCCUAUCGACAAAUGGGUUUACGACCUCGAU